GGUAAAAGAUCAGAUGAUCAUCUGAUUUUCCUAUUAGUCUGUAUCUUCAUUGUGGUCAUCAUCGUGUGUUGUGUUUUAUACAUAACACGUGAAUAUCUAAAAGUGUGCAAAGAACGUGAUGAAAACACAUCCUUGGACCAAGUACUCACUCUUCCCUCCAAUCAGAACAAAAAAAAUGAAAAGUGGAACUCAGGAUUUAACGUGUUGACUGAGGAUGAGGAGAUAGAUUCAGAAGGAGCCAUGCGACUCACUGCUUCUGUUCAUGCACUUCAUUCCUCUUCAACAGACAUAAACACUAUCACUGAACUUUCAGAAACCAGCAAUGAUCAGCAAGUUCAUCUGAAAAAUUCAGAGGAAAAUGUGACAAUGAGUGAUUGGGGAGGCAAAAAACAUGAAGGACAAAGCAACACUUGGACAGGAACCAGUUAUACAUAUCCAUCCAUCCAUCCAUCCAUCCAUUUUUUACCGUUUGUUCCUCUCGAAGUCGCGGGAGGUGCUGGAACCUAUUUCAGCUGCAUUUGGGCGGAAGGCGGCGUACACCCUGGACAAGUCACCACCUCAUCGCAGGGCCAAUACAGAGAGACAACAUUCACAAACUAGGGCCAAUUUAGUGUUGCCAGUCAAUGAAUUUUGUAGUGAUUUCUAAAUAGUAGAAACCCAACAUAUCCUGUGAGAUGAGCAACAAUUUAAGAGAUGAGUCCCAAUUUAAACGGUGUUAUUAUA
Non-coding RNA from Nerophis lumbriciformis (worm pipefish), 723 nucleotides. The record is from RefSeq and is a predicted model, not a curated record. NCBI's taxonomy places the organism in Eukaryota, Metazoa, Chordata, Actinopteri, Syngnathiformes, Syngnathidae.